This 1971-nucleotide long non-coding RNA is filed under the name Otus sunia (Oriental scops-owl). Its description in RNAcentral is "lncRNA (ENSOSUG00000014685.1)". The record is from RNAcentral. Lineage: Eukaryota; Metazoa; Chordata; Aves; Strigiformes; Strigidae.
GCCCCAGGCCCUUUCAAAACUCACUAAACUUCAUGAUUUCAUAAUGUUGUGCCAUCUAAAGGGAAUAACAAGGGGUAGAAAAGACAGAGGAAUGACGCAUUUAAAGGAGAGAAACACUGAAUCUUUAUUGCAGAAGGAAAAUAUGAUUGUCAAAGCAUGGAUUUAGUUGCCCUUGCCACCUGUCCUUUCUGUCUGUCUUUGAAUUCACUCAGCAAAUCUCUGGACACAGCAAUGACUAAAGAACAGGGCUCACUGUGUAUCAGUUCGGCUUCCAGCAGCAUUUGUGGAUACGCGUAAGUUCUUGCCAUGGUUUUACUGCUGAAUUCCUCUGUUGAGUUCAGUCUUUGCUACGUAACUAACAGAAGUAAAAUACUUAUCACCUAAUUGGGCAGAGCAGACCUUGGGCUCUGACCUAGAUCAUAAACAUCUUGAAAACAAAUCUCGGCAAAAAGGGGAUCUUGCCAGCAACGACAAGGUGAUGACAGUUGUCUUCCAGCCCUGUAAAUUUCACACCUGAGCCAAAGGGCUCCUACUGAACCCAGGAGGCGCUGCGUACACUCUAGCUCAGGCUUCACAAAUAACUUGUGUUUGCACCAUGCAUCACCCAUGACUCAGAUACUUUUAAUCUCACCUCUCCAUGAUUAGAGACCAUUUCUAAUAACUUGUACUGCACAGAUUUUCAGACGUGGGUGCGCAAACAUGACAAAGCCAAGCCACAAGACAUCUAGUAUUUUCUUGAAAAGAAAGAAAAAAAGAAAACGCUGCAUGUAAUCAAAGGAGCUCAAGGAACUAGAGGAGCUCAAAACAAUAUGUAACUUGCAGUUAUCGAAGUAGGCUGCUUUUCUAAAUUCUCGAGUCUCGCAUUUAAGACAGAAAGAAAGACCCCCCCCGUCAUUUGAAUCACAUGGUUUACGGGGCUGGGGCUCUAAGAACAUCACGACAUUCAUAACGAGGAGUCAGCAACGAUCGCCUCGUUCCUGCUGGAGUCACCCAGCACCCCGCCGUCACGUCCCAGUUCCCACACCACAAACCGAGCACAACACCAGCAACUUCCUCGGGCGUCCUGAACUCGGUGCAGCCUCAGCGCAGCCCUCCGCGGCGCUUCAGCGAGACAGAACCAACCCCGACCAGCCGCCUCCCGGCCCCCGCCUGCCGUCGCCUCCCGCUGCCAGACGGCGGUUCGCAGCUCCGCCAAACAUGUAUUUAUAGCACUUAUGAACAAGAGAUUCGAGCAAAACUUCCUUCGAGACGGAAAUUGAUACACAGAUAGGAGUAGCCUACCGGAGAUGCAAGAUGUGGUUAAGCAUAAUUUUCAACAUUCACAAGUAAAUUGCAUUUUGAUGAUAGCAGCAGACAAAAGUAUUAUAGAAAUUGUACCAUUUAAGUGUGAUACAGGCUAUCAGAGAUAAAAAGCAUAUGCUGCAAAUUAUUACAAUUUGUUUUGUUUUAGUUGCUUCCAGUGCAGUGUCCUGAUGAGAGACGAGUGGUAAGAAUGAUAGAAAUCAUGUCCAGAGAAAGCACAGCCUUAAAAAGAAGGUAGCAAACCGGUAUAUAACUACCUGAAUGCUCAAGAGGAACUGACUGGACUGAGGGAGGAAGGGACAACAACGCUUAAGUGGGUGAUAAUUACUUGCAGGAAAAAUUGCUUUUAUUUACUUGAAGGAAAUAAAAAGCUUUAAAGCAACCCCUCAAAGAGAGUUGACUGAAUAACGUUUCACAUCAAUAAACAUUUACUGACCAAAGCUUGAUAAUGUUUUUACACUUUGAUCUGAAUUGCCCGAUCUAGAAAUAGCCCUUCCUGGUUUUCCCCUUUGCAUUUCAGGGUGAAAUGAGAAUGAUUUCACUUGUUUGUUUGUUUUGUUAAUCAUGACAACUUUUACAUGCUGAAUACCAAGGUGAUUAUACAAACUUUAGUAUUUUAUGGGAAGUCACAAUCUGAAAGCAAGAGGGACUCGGAGGUUAAGGCCAGAG